This 482-nucleotide ribosomal RNA is filed under the name uncultured bacterium. RNAcentral's name for it is "partial 16S ribosomal RNA". It matches the Rfam family "Bacterial small subunit ribosomal RNA", at positions 30 to 507 of the family's 1533-position model. The record is from RNAcentral.
AUUGAACGCUGGCGGCAUGCUUUACACACGCAAGUCGAACGGUAACAGGCCGCAAGGUGCUGACGAGUGGCGAACGGGUGAGUAAUGCAUCGGAACGUGCCCAGUCGUGGGGGAUAACUACUCGAAAGAGUAGCUAAUACCGCAUACGAUCUAUGGAUGAAAGCGGGGGACCGUAAGGCCUCGCGCGAUUGGAGCGGCCGAUGUCAGAUUAGGUAGUUGGUGGGGUAAAGGCUCACCAAGCCAACGAUCUGUAGCUGGUCUGAGAGGACAACCAGCCACACUGGGACUGAGACACGGCCCAGACUCCUACGGGAGGCAGCAGUGGGGAAUUUUGGACAAUGGGCGCAAGCCUGAUCCAGCAAUGCCGCGUGCAGGAAGAAGGCCUUCGGGUUGUAAACUGCUUUUGUACGGAACGAAACGGCUCUGGUUAAUACCCGGGGCUAAUGACGGUACCGUAAGAAUAAGCACCGGCUAACUACGUG